UGGCGGCAGGCCUGAACACAUGCAAGUCGAGCGGAAACGAGUUCACUGAACCUUCGGGGAACGUGAACGGCGUCGAGCGGCGGACGGGUGAGUAAUGCCUGGGAAAUUGCCCUGAUGUGGGGGAUAACCAUUGGAAACGAUGGCUAAUAGCCGCAUAAUAGCUUCGGCUCAAAGAGGGGGACCUUCGGGCCUCUCGCGUCAGGAUAUGCCCAGGUGGGAUUAGCUAGUUGGUGAGGUAAAGGCUCACCAAGGCGACGAUCCCUAGCUGGUCUGAGAGGAUGAUCAGCCACACUGGAACUGAGACACGGUCCAGACUCCUACGGGAGGCAGCAGUGGGGAAUAUUGCACAAUGGGCGCAAGCCUGAUGCAGCCAUGCCGCGUGUAUGAAGAAGGCCUUCGGGUUGUAAAGUACUUUCAGCAGUGAGGAAGGUUCAUGCGUUAAUAGCGUAUGGAUUUGACGUUAGCUGCAGAAGAAGCACCGGCUAACUCCGUG
This 493-nucleotide ribosomal RNA is filed under the name uncultured Vibrio sp. Its description in RNAcentral is "bacterial SSU rRNA". It matches the Rfam family "Bacterial small subunit ribosomal RNA", at positions 37 to 507 of the family's 1533-position model. The record is from RNAcentral. Lineage: Bacteria; Pseudomonadati; Pseudomonadota; Gammaproteobacteria; Vibrionales; Vibrionaceae.